This is a long non-coding RNA of Oxyura jamaicensis (ruddy duck), 340 nucleotides long. RefSeq lists it as uncharacterized. The record is from RefSeq and is a predicted model, not a curated record. Lineage: Eukaryota; Metazoa; Chordata; Aves; Anseriformes; Anatidae. The transcript is spliced from 3 exons.
UGCCCCCCAAACUCCAUAGCUCUGGAGGAGAAGCAGCAAAGAGAGCAGCACGGUGGAGAAAAUCCUGUCCAUGGCUGCGGAGGAGCCGGAGGCUGGAUGCGGAGUGGCAAGCAGGAGCCUUGGCCCAGAGUAUCUCUCAUUUUUGGAAAGUCUUCAAUAUUCUUCCAUUGUGUCAGAGCAGCUGGAUGCUACUAUUAAAGAGAUCACCGGUAAUCUAGCAGGCUACAAAGUCUGGAUGUCUCAGAAACAUGUGGAUGGGCACGAAAUCCACCUCUCAGAGAUCCAAGGUCCCCUGGUCAAUUAGGACUGGCCUGAAUGGCCAGGUCAUUCAAGAAAAUCC